GUCGCCGCUGAAUGUGCGUCUCGAAGUCCCAGGCCUCUGCCAACGUCGCAGCUGCAAGUAUUAGUGCGUGUAGAGCUAACAGCUAGAAGUCCCAGCUACAUUUGCACAAGUGCGUGUAGCCAAUGAUUUUUUAGCGCUCCAAACCGGUUCUGGCUUGAUUCACACGGACACUGCAAGUAAUGUAUGUGUUGGUGCCCUGACUUUCUGAAGUGCG
This 214-nucleotide long non-coding RNA is filed under the name Drosophila guanche. Lineage: Eukaryota; Metazoa; Arthropoda; Insecta; Diptera; Drosophilidae. The record is from RNAcentral.